AGAAGAUCAUGGAGGUGUGGCAGAUCAUUGAUCAUUUGGACUCAUUAUAAAAAAACAAAAACGGGUACGUGACACCACUUCCUUAACAAAACUCUGAUCCUGCCAAAGCCCCCUCCAUCAAUCAGCAGUGACUCCAGUUGCAAUCAUGACCACUACCACAAAUCAGAAUGUGGAAUUUGUAAGGACUGGCUAUGGGAAGAAUAUGGUGAAAGUCCUACACAUUCGCCGUGAAGGAACUCAUCACCACAUUACUGAGCUUAUCGCAGAUGUUCAGUUAACACUGAAGACUCGCAAAGACUACCUGACAGGAGACAACUCUGACAUCAUCCCCACUGACACCAUCAAAAACACUGUCCAUGCCCUUGCCAAACUAAAGGGAAUAAGGGACAUUGAGAGCUUUGCCCUGGAUAUCUGUGAACAUUUCCUCACAGCGUUCAAGCAUGUCACAAGAGUGAGGGUCAACAUUGAUGAAGUUCCCUGGAAAAGACUGGAAAAGAAUGGAGUGGAGCACACACAUGCUUUCAUCCACUUUCCUGUGGCUUGGCACUUCUGUGAGGUCGAGCAACAUCUGAAUAUGACUCCAGUGGUUUACAGUGGUCUGAGAGACAUGAAGGUACUGAAGACCACUCAGUCUGGAUUUGAGGGCUUCUUGCAGGACCGUUUCACCACUCUGACAGAGACGAAGGACAGAUUCUUCUGCACUUCUGUUUAUGCUAAAUGGCGCUACAACACGGUGAAUGUAGCAUUUGAUGCUGCAUGGAAAACUGUGAGGGACACCAUCAUUGAAAAGUUUGCUGGACCCUAUGAUCGUGGGGAAUAUUCUCCUUCUGUUCAGAAAACUCUGUAUGAUACACAACUCCUAGUGCUUGACAGAAUUCCAGAGGUUGAGGAAAUUGAAAUAAUUAUGCCAAACCAGCAUUAUUUCUUAAUAGACAUGACGAAAAUGGGACUCUCAAACAAGGAUGAGGUGUAUCUUCCUCUUGAUAAUCCAUCAGGAAAUAUCACAGGCACAGUGGGCAGAAAACCAAGAGCCAAACUCUGAAGACAAACAACAUACACCUAGAAACUCUACAAAAGCUGACCAAGAGGACCAAGAGAACCGAACUACAAGUGUAAACACACCCUAAGUCUGCAAAAGGGGCCAGUGGAAGAAGUUGAAGAUGGGAACUGAAGAUUUCAAACGGCUAAACAAAAAGUUGCAAGGAGAAGCUCCAGACUCACUGGACCCAGAGACAAUUCCUUUUUUGUUUCAUCUUUGAGUGUCUCUAGCUACUGGUUUAUUAUAUAUCAGAGUGUUGCCAAUAUGACAUUGAAACAUUGGACAUACAGUUUUUGCCAAUAAUGUACCCUGUAGAAUACCCAUAGUACAUCUGUGAGCUGUGUAUAUGUUUUCUUGCUCCUAUUGAUAUCUUAUACACUUACCUUUUAGUGUCU
RNA transcript from Myxocyprinus asiaticus (Chinese sucker), 1434 nucleotides. It is a transcript of the gene named urate oxidase, with no coding region annotated. The record is from RefSeq and is a predicted model, not a curated record. NCBI's taxonomy places the organism in Eukaryota, Metazoa, Chordata, Actinopteri, Cypriniformes, Catostomidae. The transcript is spliced from 10 exons.